ACGGCGGCGGCUACACUGCAGUCGAGCGGACAGACGAAGAGCUUGCUCCUCUGACGUUAGCGGCGGACGGGUGAGUAACGUGUGGAUAACCUACCUAUAAGACUGGGAUAACUUCGGGAAACCGGAGCUAAUACCGGAUAAUAUAUUGAACCGCAUGGGUCGAUAUUGAAAGAUCUUUUUGCUGUCUCUUAUACAUGGAUCCGCGCCGCAUUAGCUAGUUGGGAGGGUAACGGCUUACCAAGGCCACGAUGCGUAACCGAACUGAAAGGGUGAUCGGCCACACUGGAACUGACACACUCCUAAGACUCCUACGGGAGGCAGCAAUUGGGAAUCUUCCGCAAUGGGGAUGAGCCUGACUGCCCGCGUCGCAUGAGUGACUUCGGUCUUCAAAUUGCUUUCUCUGGGAGGACGCGAAAGGUUAAUAUCCUUCCCUAUUGACUUUACCCUAAGAAGAUCACCGGCCAACUCCGUGCCAUUUCCGCCAUAAUACUGAUGCUUCAGGCGUUAA
RNAcentral lists this unclassified non-coding RNA (508 nucleotides) under Staphylococcus sp. RNAcentral's name for it is "bacterial SSU rRNA". It matches the Rfam family "Bacterial small subunit ribosomal RNA", at positions 33 to 543 of the family's 1533-position model. The record is from RNAcentral. Lineage: Bacteria; Bacillati; Bacillota; Bacilli; Caryophanales; Staphylococcaceae.